This 1523-nucleotide long non-coding RNA is filed under the name Suricata suricatta (meerkat). Its description in RNAcentral is "lncRNA (ENSSSUG00005009976.1)". Lineage: Eukaryota; Metazoa; Chordata; Mammalia; Carnivora; Herpestidae. The record is from RNAcentral.
CUUGAUUCCUAUGUGAACCUCUGACUUCAUUUCUUGCACUCUGCUCUCCUGACCAGUGUUUCUUUCCCAGGAGGAUCACCGAUGGACCUGCUGGGGGUUGUAAAAGUGCAGAUGCUAAACCUACAGAAGCAGAAUCUCCGAGGAGCCCCAAAUUUCAAAAUCGUUGUCUAGGGUAUUGGACACCAAUCAGUAAAGUGAGAGGAACCUGCUAGGUGGCCAUGUGAGCAUCACCUUUAUUAAACCAGAGAAGCUGAACUGAAGGACUGAACCUGAAUCUGCAAUCAUGCCUCCUUCCAGAAAGUUGUCUGCACGUCUGUCUUCACUCCGCACUAGACUGAGAGCCCCCGAGGGUAAUCCAUGUUCUGUUCUACCUGUCCGACAGCCUGCAUCGUUGCCUCCCUCAGCUUGAACACUGCGAUUCUGCCUCCUUGGUAUCUGUCCAUGCACGACACAUCGAAGGCUCUAAGAACAUCUUCGCAGAAUAAAUGUGCAGUUUCUCUAAAGCAAAAUCUCCUUCUACUUGGAGCCACCUAACAUGAAGCAUUCAUCGAGGCUUACUGACUAAGCACUGUGCCGUGGGCCAUGAGCAUCUCCGGCCUCAUAGACCUGACAUCUGUGGGAGACAAUCACAGAACUAUUUCACUGCAGCUGUGCUAAGUGUGCAGAUGAGAAGUGCAGGGUGCCCUGGGAGCUUCUAACUGAAGACCCUGACUGGUCUGGGGAGCCUGAAGAACCAGAAAACAGCUGGGGCUGGAGACCAAGAACGAGGAGGUCAGAGCCCCAGGGAGGCUGGAGAGUUGGCAAUACUGGAUUAUGCUGAGCCUUGAAAAUUCUAUGUGAAGAAUUUGGGUCUUUAUCAAAGGAGAAAUUGGAAGCCACUGUGGGAUUUUAAGCAGGGGGGAUAAUGUGAUUAAUUUUAUAUUUAAACAUAUCACUGUGGUUGCCAUUUAGAAGUGGUUUGGAGAUGGAGCCUGGAAGGCCAAGAAUCAGUGGAGAAUCUGUUGCAAUGUCCCAGAGGGGGUGUUCUGAAAAGAGAUGAUAAUGUUGGAGAAAGUGAGAAGUGAGUGGAGCUGUCUAGUGGUCACAUUAGCCGUACUUAUAUCUCUCAGUUUAAUCCUCUGCUAUUAUCUCUCCCUCCUCUCUCCUUAUUUAAAUGACAUCAUUUGCCUUCUUGAGCAUUUAUGAAGAAAAAGAACAGAAGAAGAAAAAUGGCUUCCUCUUUGUCACAGGAAUAACCCAUUUUCAGGCCGAAGAUUUGGUUUCAUUGCUUAAAGCCACUGGCUUUAAAUUUUACUCUGGGUGAGGGAGGCAAACCUCCUUUUUGGUUUUGUUUUGUUUUGUUCUGUUUUUGAUAUCUCCAAGUCCCACCAGAAAUUGACCUUUUUGUUGAAAAGGAUGCUAGGCUUGUGGUAUCGACUGAAUUGAAUCCCUAACCCUCAAUGUGAUUUUGUUUAGAGAUGGGGCUUAUCAGGAGGUAAUAAAGGUUGAGUGAAGUCAUAAGGGUGGAAUCUUAAUUCAGUGUG